RNAcentral lists this ribosomal RNA (497 nucleotides) under uncultured bacterium. Its description in RNAcentral is "partial 16S ribosomal RNA". It matches the Rfam family "Bacterial small subunit ribosomal RNA", at positions 28 to 507 of the family's 1533-position model. The record is from RNAcentral.
GAUGAACGCUGGCGGCGUGCCUAAUACAUGCAAGUCGAGCGAACAGACGAGGAGCUUGCUCCUCUGACGUUAGCGGCGGACGGGUGAGUAACACGUGGAUAACCUACCUAUAAGACUGGGAUAACUUCGGGAAACCGGAGCUAAUACCGGAUAAUAUAUUGAACCGCAUGGUUCAAUAGUGAAAGACGGUUUUGCUUUCACUUAUAGAUGGAUCCGCGCCGCAUUAGCUAGUUGGUAAGGUAACGGCUUACCAAGGCAACGAUGCGUAGACGACCUGAGAGGGUGAUCGGCCACACUGGAACUGAGACACGGUCCAGACUCCUACGGGAGGCAGCAGUAGGGAAUCUUCCGCAAUGGGCGAAAGCCUGACGGAGCAACGCCGCGUGAGUGAUGAAGGUCUUCGGAUCGUAAAACUCUGUUAUUAGGGAAGAACAAAUGUGUAAGUAACUAUGCACGUCUUGACGGUACCUAAUCAGAAAGCCACGGCUAACUACGUG